AUGGACUUGGGUGACCACUUCGAACGUUCCGGGCCGACGCAUUUGAUGGCAAGAGCCGGCUCCGGUUCUAUUCGGAUGAUGAUUGACUGGGACAAAGAGGAGCACCGCCGCUGCGUCGCCGCUAGCCUUGUCAACAGCACGUACGUCAUGGAGAAGGACCGCGGCAGAUGGAGCAGGGCGCAACUCGCGCCGGCGUGGUGGACGAGCUUUCACUUUCACUUGGAGCGCACGCGCCUACUUGAGGACGAACGUUCCAUCUUUGGCGCUAUCUACAGGCACGUGCCGCCGCCGGGCCAGCAUCAUCCCUCCGCUCCACACUACAUCGUCGCCUUCAGGGGCACCAUGACAGUAGAUGACAUGCAGCUUAACGCACACAUCGUGACCAACACCGUGCAUGACUCCAACCGCUCGCAGCUCGCUCACCAGGCGGUCCGCAACCUCCUCGCCACAGUCCACAGCCGAUGCAUCGUCUGGCUCACAGGCCACUCUCAGGGUGCGUCGCUGGCGCUGGAGGUGGGGCGGCACCUAAUGCUAGACCACCGGCGCAACCUCCCGACCUUCCUCUUCAAUCCGCCGCAGGUAUCGCUGGCGCCCGUCAUCAACUUGACGCAUUCGCCGGACGACAAGACGGACCUGUACACCUUGAGCAAGCUCGUCAAGGCUGGCCUCGGGAAGGUCCUCCGUCCCCACCGGAAGCGCAUGGAGAAGCUGUUCGAGCAGCUGUCCUCGUGGGCACCCAACCUGUACGUGCACGAGAAGGACUUCCUGUGCCAGGGCUUCAUCGACUACUUCGAGCAGAGGGAGAAGCUGGAGAGGCGCUUCCGCGGAGCUGCCAGGUCGGCAACGGCACUCUCCUACCGUGACAUGCUCUUUUACCUGCUCGGCAAGGCCAAGGAGCCGAGGCCGCACCUCCUGCCAUCAGCAACGGUGUGGAAAAACUCGACCCAUGUCUGCCGCCUUCGCUCACAUGGUCUCAAGCAAUGGUGGAAACCGGACGGUGAACUUAUCUUGACCCCAAGGCGUUACACAUAUUAA
This 1035-nucleotide ribosomal RNA is filed under the name Triticum aestivum (bread wheat). RNAcentral describes it as "partial small subunit ribosomal RNA". The record is from RNAcentral. Lineage: Eukaryota; Viridiplantae; Streptophyta; Magnoliopsida; Poales; Poaceae.